GACGAACGCUGGCGGCGUGCUUAACACAUGCAAGUCGAACGGAAAGGCCCUGCUUUUGUGGGGUGCUCGAGUGGCGAACGGGUGAGUAACACGUGAGUAACCUGCGCUUGACUUUGGGAUAACUUCAGGAAACUGGGGCUAAUACCGGAUAGGAGCUCCUGCUGCAUGGGGGGGGUUGGAGAGUGUCGGCGGUUGGGGAUGGACUCGCGGCUUAUCAGCUUGUUGGUGAGGUAGUGGCUUACCAGGGCUUUGACGGGUAGCCGGCCUGAGAGGGUGACCGGCCACAUUGGGACUGAGAUACGGCCCAGACUCCUACGUGAGGCAGCAGUGGGGAAUAUUGCACGAUGGGCGGAAGCCGGAUGGAGCAACGCCGCGUGCGGGAUGACGGCCUUCGGGUUGUAAACCGCUUUCGCCUGUGACGAAGCGUGAGUGACGGUAAUGGGUAAAGAAGCACCGGCUAACUACGUG
RNAcentral lists this ribosomal RNA (468 nucleotides) under uncultured bacterium. Its description in RNAcentral is "partial 16S ribosomal RNA". It matches the Rfam family "Bacterial small subunit ribosomal RNA", at positions 28 to 507 of the family's 1533-position model. The record is from RNAcentral.